AUUAAUGAAAAUUACAGAAAAACAAAUAAAACCACUUGAGAAAACCAAACAAACAACCAAAAGAAAACCCAUCGUCUUCUCAAGAACAAAACUAGAAAAAUAAGAAAAACAGGAAAACCAAAAGACUUUUCGAUAAGAAACUCAGCAGCCCCAUCAACCUAUCAUCCUUCAUCAUUAUCACUACUACUAUCAUCUUGCUCCCAUAGAUUAGCAGUCUUCAGAAAUUAUGAUGGAUCUUGUAGUUUUGAACCGUUGGAGCCCUGAAUACCCAUUUUCUAUUACCCAUUCAACUCAUUCAUAUAAGAUUUCAUUUAUCUCUUUCGACCUCUACUUCUACCCUUAGCGACGCCUCCUCAAUCCAAACCCUCAGCAAUGACCAUUGUUUUCUUUCCAUCACCAUAGCAUGUGCCCUUUGAUUCACCAAUCUCUCUACAAAACUAAAGAUAAGUUCUUCAAAUCUUUAAGCCCUUUCUUUAAUUUCCUUUAUUAUUACAGAAAUACUUGAUCUUUCCUCCCCUAGUGACCGAAAUUUUUAACUACAGUCAAGGAGUCCCCCUCCACCACCAACAUUUGAAAGCCCAGUUUUUCAGCCACUGUCACCGCAUGUAAACAGGCUCUGGCCUCAUUUGUAGUUGUGUCGGCCACAAAAUUAUUUGGGUAUGUACAUGCUACUAGAAUAUACCCCCCACUAUCUCUAAAAAUUAUGCCUAAAACCGAACUAUGCUCAUGCUUAUUAAAUGAUAUAUCAAAAUUAAUUUUAACCACAUUUGUCCUUGGCGGAUACCAUUCAUUAUCAUUCUAAAUAAUGCUUGUUGUUAUUGUUGUUUCUAUGUUGCUAUUCUUUGUAUGAUAGGCUUUAACAAAAGAAUUAAGGCGAAACACACUCUCUUUCACCAUGAUGAUAGACCUUGUUUCUAUGAUGCCAAACUGCCCAAAAAACAAUAACUAACCAUUUACAUUGUUCUUCACCACUAUUAACAAAUAAAUUUUUAAUCAUUUUUCCAACUUUGCCCCUAAUUAAUGGGCAAGCCAUCAAUACCCACCCACUACAGGACACAUUUGGUGAACGAAAAAUCCCGAAAAAUGUGGCUCAUUGACUCUUCCAUUAAGCAACAGAAAAGGCAAUAAUUCACCACCACCAACUUUCUCAGUUGUAAAUUAUCAAACAUAGGAAUGUAAUUGUUAGUCAAUUUUCAUAUUGUAAUUUUUAUCUUACUCGCAACUCUUAGUCUCCAUAAUUUCUUGUAAAAACUCUGUAAUAGUGUAUCUUGUUUUACCUUUCCCCAAUUGAUGUUAUCACAUCCCCAUUUAGCAGUCAUUUGUAUCCACUCCUUGUCCAAACCCUCCCAUCCUAGAGCUCAACUCUAGCAAUUGGAAAAGUCAAUAUUCUGCUCACUUGCUCCUCAUUAAAUAACUCUCACAAGGCCUUCAAUUUCCAAAUAGUCGACUCAAUAUUAAUAAGAUCUACCACCACUAUAUAAUUAAAACUAAUUUUUUAAAUUACCACUCUUCCUUGUUUAGGACUCGAUAACCAAACAUCAUUCCAAAUGUUUAUCAUUCUGUCAUUUCUAACUUUCUACCCCAUACCUAGUUCCAGAAGCCUCCGACCACCCCAAAUGCUCUUCCAAGUAUACGAAGAGUGAGAACCUAAAUUGACACUCAUAAAAUCAUUUUUAGAUAGUACUUAGCUUUCAUGACUCGAGCAAACAAACAGUCCUUUUUCAUUACUAAUCUACAACCCUAUUUUACAAGCAACACAAUUUUAAACUUUGUUAAGUCCCUAAAGCCCAAACCUCCUUAUGCUUUUGGCUUGAACAUUUUCUUCCAAUCGCACUAAUGGAUCCCCUUCUUUGUUUUAGAAUUUCUCCACUAGAGCAUACUGAUAAUACUUUCCAACUCACAACAUAAAGUAACAAGUAACAGAAAGUAUUAUAUUGUAUAAACUAGGAUGACCUGUAAAAUUGAUUUGAUAAAAAUUUAUUUACCUCCAAGUGACAAAUGAUGAACACUCCUACUUUUAAUAUGCUUCACAAACCUAUCUUUAAAACUUGCAAAAGCCUCCUUCUUUCGCCUACCAACCAUAGUCGACAAACUAAGAUACUUUUCUGCAUAAUAAGAGACUCUCAUACUAAGAACUACCCCAAUAUGUUCCCUUAUGUCCCUUGACACAUUAUUGCUAAAGAAAAUUAAAGAAUUUUCAAAAUUAAUCAACUGUCUCAACACCCCUUCAUAUUCGGUCACAAUUAAUUUAAUAGCGUUCGCGCCAUUCAGACUUGCCUCCCUAAAUAAUAUACUAUGAUCUGCAAAAAACAGAUGAGUUAAAAACAAUCCACUCCGACCCACCCUUAUGCCUUUAAUGGUCCCUUUAGCCUUCGCCAUUUUAAGGAGAGUAAAAAACCCUCUCAUGCAUAUAAAAAGUAAAUAAGGGCUCAGCAGAUCUCCUUGUCUUAACCUCUUAUGAGAUCUGAAUUCCUUUUCUUGAACCCCGUUAAACAAAACAAAAUAGUUAAUUGUUCGAACACACCCUAUCAUUAGUGACACCCAUUCAUCAAUAAACCCCAUACGACACAUCACUUUUUCUAUGAAACUCUGUUUCACCCUAUUCAUAAGCCUUAUUCAUAUCUAGUUUCAAUGCAAAAUGUCCUCAUGGCCCUUCUCGUUUCUGUUUAAGUGACUAUAAUACCUCGUAUGCAAUAAGAGUAUUAUCCAUAAUUUGUCUUCCUGGAACAAAUGUCGCUUGUGCUUCAUCAAUACAUUUAUCCAAAACAAUUCUAAAUCUAUUAACCAUUACUUUAGAAAUGAUUUUAUCACCACAUUGCACAGGUUGGUCGGCCUAAAUUGCAACAUACUAUUUAGAGCAUUCACUUUCAGGAUAUGCACAAUACUAGUAUUGUUGAUAACAUCUACCUUAUUCCUUCUAUUCAGUACAUCUAAACAAUACUUAGUUAUCUCCCCUCACAAUAUGCAAGUAUUUUUUUAUAGAAAAGCAUAGGAUAACCAUCCAUACAUGAUGCCUUUAAUGGUGCCAUACUCUUUACUACUUUCACAACUUCAUCGACCCAAAAAUCUGCAAUAAGCUUAUUGUUCAUACCCUCCUGAAUGUAAGCCGGGAUCCCAAACAACACUUUAUCACAACUCGUUGUCUGCAAAGCAGUAAAUAUCACCUAAAAUAACCACUCACCACCCUUGCCAUCUCCUCAUCCCCUACAACCCAUUCCCUAUUUGGGCCUUUCAACUUCUUCACAGUAUUCUUCUUUUUUAGUUGGUUUGCUAGAUUGUGAAAAAAGGAUGUAUUUUUAUCCCUAAAUUGAAGUUAGUUCGCCCUUGCGCACUGCUCUCAAAAGAACUCCUCUUUAUCAGCUUCCAAAUUCAGAGCCAACUUAAACUCUUCCAACUCUACUAAUGUUUCUUCAUCCAUAUCAGUCGAACUCAAAUCAACAAAUCGCAUAUUUAGAGCUAUUGAUGUUUGUCUUUUACUGGAAGAAAAUUAUCCCAUCUCAAUCUUAAGAAUCUCACCUAGCUUUUCCAACUUCGUGAAAACAUCAUCAGUAUUCACCUCUCAAAAGUUUAUUUCACCAGUUGUUCAGAGUAGUCCUCCAAGAUCCAGUUUGCAUUAAAUCUAAAUCCCUCAUUCUUCUGAACUAGAUAACCUCUACUAACAUUCCCCAAAUCCAUCAUCAACCAGUGAUAAAAAAAUAGCAUGAGGCAAGUGUCUUAAAGAAUAACCCAAAAAAACUCUCCCACCAAGCCGAAUUGGCAACCCCUUUGUCAAUUAUUUCACGAACAUUGUUCUCCGGUAGACAACCUGUAAUGGCCUAAAUUUUUAGUGGUGUCGGAAUGGUGAUUCGAGAUCUCUAAAUCUGACAAAUGAGUAGAAAAUAUUAUUAAUUUAGUGAGUAUAAGUUAAAUGUGAGGUUAGGAAAAUUUUUGAAAUAGUGAAUAGUGUAAUAGGAAUAAAUAUUUAAAUAAUUAGAAUUGAAAAUGAGGUAUCGAAACCUCAAACUCAUAAAUCGAGCCAUAAAUAUUUUUAGAAAUAUUUAUAGAAUGUCAUUGAGUUGGUAUUAAAGUAAUGAGGUAUCGAAACCUCAAACUCAUAAAUCGAGCCAUAAAUACUUUUAGAAAUAUUUAUAGAGUGUCAUUGAGUUGGUAUUAAAGUUUCGUUAGAAAAUUCUAACGUUUUGGUGGUCAAUUAAUUAAAAAGGACUAAACUGAAAAUAAUGUAAAAUUUUUUAAAAGUGAUUAAAUAGCUUAAGUGGUAAAUAAGGAGGGACUUAAGGCAUAAAUAUGCCAAUAUGGAAUAAUUGAGACGACAUAAGAGAAGAAAAAUCUGGAAAAGUGAUGUAAUAAGGGCAAAAUUGGAAAUUUUGUAAAAAUUAACAAAUAAAAAUCUUAAUUAAAAGAGUUUCUAGGCAAUUCUUCAUAUUUCUCAGCAAAAAAACGCCAUUUAAGGGUCCAUCCAAGCUGGUUUUUCAUAUAUUUGAAUCAUGCAAGUUUAAUUCUUGAUUAUUUCUUCUAAUUUUUGUGAUUUUGAUACUUUUACAAUUAGGUCCAACUAAUUAUUUCAUUAGUUUUUGAUUUCAUGGCUGAUUUUGAGAGUUACCAUUGAUGAGUGAUGGAUUUUUAUGAUGAAUUAACAUGGAAUUAAAGCUUUAAUUUUAUUAUAAGAUGAUUUUAUUAAGUAAUUUUGAUAGAAAUUGAUUUUAGGGACCUAAUAGUGAAAAGUUUGGAAUUAGGGUUUGGUGUUGCGGUUUUGAAUAUCAAAGGCUACAUAGUAGUCUAAAAUAGUUGUACAAGGUGUUAAUUGAGAAAAAUUAGAUCAAUUGAGAGGUUAAUUGAGUAGGGACCAAAUUGUAAAAAUUGUAAAGUUUGGGGUAAAACUAUAAUUUCAAAAAUUAUAGGGGUAUAAAUUGUGAAAUGAAUUAGAAUUGAAUUAAAUGUUGGUGAAUGAAUAAAUUUAUAUUUUAGAUCAAGAACCCGAAGAUAAACGAGGAAAGGAGAAAAUUACCGAUUAGUCACUAAACUUCCGCAACUUUUCCAAAGUAGUCAAGUAAGUUCAUAUGACUGAAAUUUAACGAUUAAAUGUUAAUUUCAUGAAUUAUAUAGUGUAUGAUGAUAUAUACUUGUUGAUGGAUUGAAAAUAAAAUAACAAUGGGAAAACCGAAUAAAUGAUCAAAUUGAGCGAAACGUCGGAUUUGAGUUCUUCUGAUCAGUGACAAGUGAUAAGUGGUAGCUUUAGCUGCACUUAUCUGAUCAGUGACAAGUGACAAGUGAUAAGUGGUAGCUUUAGCUACACUUAUCUGAUCAGUGAUAAGGGAUAAGUGGUAGCUCAGCUACACUUAUCUAAUCAGUAACAAGUGAUAGCUACACUUAUCUGAUCAGUGACAAGAGAUAAAUGAUAAGUGAUUCCGUGUAAGACCAUAGCUGAGCUAUGGCAUCGGUAUGUGUUAUGUGAUCAUGUGUAAGACCAUAGUUGGACUAUGGCAUCGAGGAAAUGAAGUACUCAAUUCCGUAAGAUGUUCACUAAUUUGAUAAAGUCGGUAAGUGUUACAUAGACUCAUAUCCAAGUGGUAUAUUUAUCGUAGUUGCUGAAAUUGAGCUCAAUUAAAUGAUUUCAUCAAUUGGAUAUUGUGUAUGCUAGGAAGUGUAGUGAAUAAUAAGAUGUGAAUUAUUAUGAUUAGUUCGGUAAGAUUUAUCUUAAAUGCCUAUGAACUUACUAAGCUUUCUAUAAGUUUACUUGUGUGUGUUUAUUGUUUCUUGUAGAUUGACAUAUAAAUACGUUCAGAGGAUCGGAUCUACAUCAAGAAUCACACUAUCCAGAUUUACUCCGGUAGAUUUUGUUAAACAACUUUUUGAUUUAUAUGGCCUAUAUAGGAAAUUGAAGAAAAAAGUAAUAGUAUGAAUGAUUAAGAAUGCAAAGUAAAUCUGAAUGUGAUGGCUGUGUUAGACAAUGAAAUAUAUAUGUUUUUAGCUUGGAAUGGUU
RNAcentral lists this long non-coding RNA (5980 nucleotides) under Gossypium barbadense (sea-island cotton). RNAcentral describes it as "long non-coding RNA (GBAR_LNC022605)". Lineage: Eukaryota; Viridiplantae; Streptophyta; Magnoliopsida; Malvales; Malvaceae. The record is from RNAcentral.